UCACACUCAAGGCGGAGACCUGUUUCCUGAGACUACAUAGUCCUUACACCGUCAAGUUCCUCCUGAGGUUGACAAGGUUUUCCUUACGGAUUGCCCAUUCUGAUUAGGCGGGUCCCCAGAAAGGCAGAAGAGACCAUGCACCUCUGACAGAGUAAAUGAAUACAGCCUAGAGACCUGAGCAGUAAAGAAGAAGAAAAAAGAAGAAAAAGAAAGAAACAAAAGAAAAGGGCACCAACUGCCUCUGUCGUAAUGAAUUUUGUCAUAUUCUAACCCCCGGAAUAACACCCUCUUUGCUCUAAAUAGAGUCUAGAGACACACCUUGCAUUUGGUUUAUUUCCUGGAUGGGAAAAUAAUCAUUUCCAGGAUACCUACCCGCUCCCACCCUCCCCAAAUCUACCUUUCCAAGGUGGGGGAAGGUGCAUCCUCGUCGGGCUCCGCCUGUGCCCUCCUAGUACCUCUGGCCAGCAGCCCGUGGGCCCGCACUCCCUGGACAUCCAUGAAUGUUUGAUGCUACAUCUCUACC
Molecule: non-coding RNA, 523 nt
Organism: Myodes glareolus (Bank vole)
Lineage: Eukaryota; Metazoa; Chordata; Mammalia; Rodentia; Cricetidae
Source: RefSeq, a predicted model, not a curated record